CAGCCGCCGCGGUAAUACGUAUGUCGCAAGCGUUAUCCGGAUUUAUUGGGCGUAAAGCGCGUCUAGGCGGCUUAGUAAGUCUGAUGUGAAAAUGCGGGGCUCAACCCCGUAUUGCGUUGGAAACUGCUAAACUAGAGUACUGGAGAGGUAGGCGGAACUACAAGUGUAGAGGUGAAAUUCGUAGAUAUUUGUAGGAAUGCCGAUGGGGAAGCCAGCCUACUGGACAGAUACUGACGCUAAAGCGCGAAAGCGUGGGUAGCAAACAGGAUUAGAUACCCUGGUAGUCCACGCCGUAAACGAUGAUUACUAGGUGUUGGGGGUCGAACCUCAGCGCCCAAGCUAACGCGAUAAGUAAUCCGCCUGGGGAGUACGUACGCAAGUAUGAAACUCAAAGGAAUUGACGGGGACCCGCACAAGCGGUGGAGCAUGUGGUUUAAUUCGACGCAACGCGAGGAACCUUACCAGCGUUUGACAUCCCAAGAAGUUAACAGAGAUGUUUUCGUGCCUCUUCGGAGGAACUUGGUGACAGGUGGUGCAUGGCC
Molecule: ribosomal RNA, 542 nt
Filed under: uncultured archaeon
Lineage: Archaea
Description: bacterial SSU rRNA
Rfam family: Bacterial small subunit ribosomal RNA
Source: RNAcentral